RNAcentral lists this long non-coding RNA (232 nucleotides) under Elaeis guineensis (African oil palm). RNAcentral's name for it is "long non-coding RNA (EGUI_LNC073664)". The record is from RNAcentral. Lineage: Eukaryota; Viridiplantae; Streptophyta; Magnoliopsida; Arecales; Arecaceae.
GGUGUCGGUACGCCCGGAAAGGGCGUCCCCAGAAUACCAGGAUCCGGUGGUGGGGUGGGCCACCUGGGCCAGCCGCCCCGUCCUUCCUGGGAAAACAAACCCGAGGGUAGAGAGCCCUCAAUCGGACCACGACUCCACCCCUGGAAGAUCCCUGCCCCCGUUCUGCCAGAAGCCCCUCGAGACUCGAAGUCGAGAGGAUUUUUUGGACCGGAGGCUCCAGGAGAAGAACCGA